Long non-coding RNA from Etheostoma spectabile (orangethroat darter), 367 nucleotides. RefSeq lists it as uncharacterized. The transcript has 5 exons. The record is from RefSeq and is a predicted model, not a curated record. NCBI's taxonomy places the organism in Eukaryota, Metazoa, Chordata, Actinopteri, Perciformes, Percidae.
GGAGUAAUUAUCCACACCCUUUUUCCAGCCCCCUCAGCUGUCUACCCAAUAUAAACUGCUCCGCCACACAUCCACCAGACAUCCACCAGCCAUCCAUCAGACAUUAUACGCUUCUUUCACCACUACAUUUGUGCUGUUUAAUCACUGAUUGAAUCUUUACCCACCAUUCUGAUAAAGUGGCAACAUGUGCAAACUCCCUCUAACGGCAGGUCUCUGUUUGAUCAUCGCCUGCUUGGGAUAUCCUGGCCUCACGGAUACAGCUAGAGUGCCACCAAACUUCUGUAAUGGAAAGUGCAAUGGGCAAUACACCAACCCUGCUGACCGAAAUUCUUUUUACAAUUGUUGGGAAGGAAGAACCUACAUCCAA